UUCCAUCUCCUGCAGAGAAUAAAGCAGAUGAAGAGAAAGAAGCUCCUGCAGAAAAGACAGUAGAGGAAGUACAACCAGAAACAGAGAAUAUUCCUGCAGAUGAAAAGUCAGCCACUGAAGCUCCAAAAUCUGAAGAGAAGAAAAUAGAAGAGAAAUCAGCUCCCGAGUAUCCAAAAUCUGAAGCUUCUUCUGUGGGGAUUAAAAAAACAGAAGAGAAACCAGCUACAAAGAAAGGCAAGUUUUGGUGGGAUAAGUGAACCAAAUUCACAAGUCAUGGGUACUGAUGUUAUUUUUAACAAGUUCUCUUGAGCAUGAUUUAUUUUAUUUUUACUGUUGAAUAUCAUUCUCAUUUGAUGAAAUUGGUAACGUUGUAUUUUCACCUUCAUAUUCAAAUACUUCAUCGUUUUUCCAUUCUAUACAAAUUUAUUUUCCUUAUUAUUCUAGUUUGAUCAAUACUCAUUACUGAUAUCUCUUUAUGCUGUUGAUUAAAUAGAAUCUAAUUAGAGACCUCCAUUUCUUUGAGUUCAAACAGAACAGGAAAAACGGAAUAUGUGUGUGAUACUUGAAGUUGCUUCAAAUAAUACCUACAUUAAUUAUGUAGUUAGUUGUCUAGUUGUCUUUCGAUUCAGACUUAGAGCCUAUGUUUCGAUUAAGCUAUAAAUAAGAGUGUCAGAGAUAUAAUGAAUGAGGAGAUGAAUCGACGAAGCAACUGUCCUUGAGGAGAAAAUCAUAAUGAAAAAAAAUUGAGAAGAAUUCUAAACUCAAAGUAUUAGAAGGUGUAUGAUCAAUAGGUGUUGCAGCUCCUUUGGUACAAAUGAAUAUAAGUCCCAUGGAUAGAUGAAGAGACGUAUAUAAUUCUGUAUUGCAAAUCUGUUAGAAACUCCACGUAAACUGUUGUAUUUAUGUUUAAAAUACAGUAUCAUUUACAGUUUACACUUCAUGAUUUAAUUAUAUAUAUUUACAUGUUUUGAAAGCAUAUAGGUAUUAUGUUGUAUUUUUAAAGUAAUGAAUGAUUUUCAUGAGUUCUAUGAGUAGUGUUUCGCUCGAUGAAAUUUUACGAAAACGGAUGCCAGUCGCUCGUCCAGAAUUGGGUCAUAAUACUCUUCGCAUGAAAUAAGGUAGUUCUUUGGGACUAAAUACUAAUUCCUCGUGUGUGGAGAUUCUGAAUUGAAAUUAGAAAAUUAUACUGCUACAAGGUUCUCUUAGGAUAAAGAUGAUAGCAAAUCUAUUUUUGGUUAUGUAUUCACUUUAAAUAGGGAUGUAGUGAGUUGGAAAAGUUCCAAGCAAAUACCAAUAGCUAAUUCAGUGACUAAAAUAGAAUAUGUAGCAGCUAGUGAAGUGGCUAAAGAAAGUACAGACGUCUCUGUACCAAUCUAAAAAGAUGCUAACAGUAACACAACAUUGAGUCCAUUAGCCCGCCGAUUAACAUAUAGCCAUAUAUCAGUCUGAAUAAAGUUGAAGAUUCCACCAAGUCUAAAGAAGAUUUUAACAAAAUAGAAAGAGAAAACAAAAUCUUUUUGUAAUCAUCUUCAUUUAUCUUUAUGCUAUCAAAUACAAAUUACAAUAUGAUCUAUCCAAAAUUAAUCAGAGUACUAUGUCCAUUGCUAAAGAACAGAGAGCAGCAACAGCAGAAAUUAGUACAGUUUCUAUCCAGUUAGCUCUAGUAAGAUACAAUUACUACAGUUUGUGCAACGGGCUACAUAAAUUAGGUUACAGAAUCAUUUUCCUGUAUCAGUUACUUCAAUCAAUAUCUAUACACAACUGCCAACGCUUACUACUAAAGAAAUUUCACGAAACUACUAUCUUCAUUCCCUGUUCUACUGCUAUAUCUUAUAGGAUUCUCAUAUGUCAACCUACUUUAUACCUAAUCAAACACUUGAUCCAAAAAAAUGAGUUUCGAAUAUAAAAUUAAUCUUCGCUAAAGAACAUCGCUAGAAAUUUUCAUCAAAUUUAUUUCCAUCGCUAGAAAGUAGAAAUCGCUAGAAAGUAGAAACAUACCUUUGAAAAUUGAAACUAUCGCAAGUUCGCAACAGCAGCAUCUUCGUUUGCCCGGAAUUUGUGAGGACUGAGGAGUGAGGAGUCGGAGCUCGGAAGUCGAAAAUCGCCAGAUCGAAAAUCGCCAAAUCGCCGCUCAACUGUACUGUAAUCUAAAUUGCUAAAUG
Molecule: long non-coding RNA, 2162 nt
Filed under: Nicotiana tabacum (common tobacco)
Lineage: Eukaryota; Viridiplantae; Streptophyta; Magnoliopsida; Solanales; Solanaceae
Description: long non-coding RNA (NTAB_LNC008036)
Source: RNAcentral